AUCUCUGAAAGAAGAUAUUGUCUGCAUAACUACUGAUGGAACAACGGUGAUGAAAAAAAUUGGGAAGUUGAUUGAUGUAAAUGAGCAAUUAUGCUAUGCUCGUGGAAUUCAGUUUGGAGUAAUCAGUGUGCUAUGUCAACAAAAUAAAGAGCAAAAUACUCAGGAUUUAGAAACUUAUGAUUCUGACUUCGAAGAGAGUGACAAUGAGGAAAAUAAUAAUAGAAUUGUUGAAGGUACCUUAUUUGGAUAUGAAGAAGAUAAUAGUAACGAGGACGAAAUAUUAACUUACCAAGGAUUGCUUCCUAUAAUUAAGA
Molecule: long non-coding RNA, 314 nt
Filed under: Androctonus crassicauda
Lineage: Eukaryota; Metazoa; Arthropoda; Arachnida; Scorpiones; Buthidae
Source: RNAcentral